CGGCGAACGGGUGAGUAAUAUAUCGGAACGUAUCCUGAAGUGGGGGAUAGCCCGGCGAAAGCCGGAUUAAUACCGCAUAAGCUCUGUGGAGGAAAGUGGGGGACCGCAAGGCCUCACGCUUUAGGAGCGGCCGAUACCAGAUUAGCUAGUUGGUGGGGUAAAGGCCUACCAAGGCGACGAUCUGUAGCUGGUCUGAGAGGAUGAUCAGCCACACGGGGACUGAGACACGGCCCCG
This 235-nucleotide ribosomal RNA is filed under the name uncultured bacterium. RNAcentral's name for it is "partial 16S ribosomal RNA". It matches the Rfam family "Bacterial small subunit ribosomal RNA", at positions 96 to 334 of the family's 1533-position model. The record is from RNAcentral.